Long non-coding RNA from Carassius gibelio (silver crucian carp), 823 nucleotides. RefSeq lists it as uncharacterized. The transcript is spliced from 3 exons. NCBI's taxonomy places the organism in Eukaryota, Metazoa, Chordata, Actinopteri, Cypriniformes, Cyprinidae. The record is from RefSeq and is a predicted model, not a curated record.
UAUUUUUUUUUUGGCUUUUUUUAUAACCUAAAGAGAACGUUUCUAGAACGUUCCCUGCAGGUUAUUUUUGGUUAACUGAGUUGCUGCAGAAAUUCAUAAGACAUACAAUGUAAGCGAUUUGAAAUUACAAUAAACUGAUAAAACACGCUAAAAAUGUAACCUUUCAUAGCAGCUGAAAACAAACCAAAUUUGAAAGUGAAGUGACAUUCAGCCAAGUAUGGUGACCCAUACUCAGAUUGUGCUCUGCAUUUAACCCAUCCGAAAUGCACACACGCAGUGAACACACACACACACACACUGUGAGCACACAGCCGAUUUUGUAAUGAGCUAAUCGGGGAUUGAGUGUUACUGUAAAUUCUGCGUGUUUUAAUGAGCGCGCGCUGAACAUUGGAGCGCGUUCAUUCAGAUUCAAACACUGGAGCGGAGGGAGUUGGCAUGGAAACGGGCGGUCGACAACACUGGCAAGCUGCACGCUCCGUGUCUCGCUGCUGUUUUCACUGAUUUCGAAAUGGUUAAGUGUUUUCGAACAAGUCCGUGAGCAUCUGAACCUUUAUCAGAGGAGUGCUUGAUGAUCUUCUGCAUCCCAUGAUGAGCAAACCUCCUGUCCAACAACAUCUCCAAGGCACACUGAUCCAUAUGACUAGCAGGAUUACCCCAAACAUACACUAAUGCUAUCCUUACCAAUUUCUGAAAUAAUAUUACAAUUUAAAAUAGCAGUUUUUGGUGAAAUGUAACUUAUUCCUGUGAUGUGCAGCUGUAUUUUCAGCAUCAUUCCUCCAGUCUUCAGUGUCACAUGAUCUUCAGAAAUCAUUUUAAUAUGAUG